RNAcentral lists this ribosomal RNA (253 nucleotides) under uncultured bacterium. RNAcentral describes it as "partial 16S ribosomal RNA". It matches the Rfam family "Bacterial small subunit ribosomal RNA", at positions 524 to 776 of the family's 1533-position model. The record is from RNAcentral.
UACGAAGGGGGCUAGCGUUGCUCGGAAUCACUGGGCGUAAAGCGCACGUAGGCGGCUUCUUAAGUCAGGGGUGAAAUCCUGGAGCUCAACUCCAGAACUGCCCUUGAUACUGAGGAGCUUGAGUCCGGGAGAGGUGAGUGGAACUGCGAGUGUAGAGGUGAAAUUCGUAGAUAUUGGGUGGAACACCGGUGGCGAAAGCGGCUCACUGGCUCGGUUCUGACGCUGAGGCGCGAAAGCGUGGGGAGCAAACAGG